RNAcentral lists this ribosomal RNA (377 nucleotides) under uncultured eukaryote. RNAcentral describes it as "partial 18S ribosomal RNA". It matches the Rfam family "Eukaryotic small subunit ribosomal RNA", at positions 592 to 976 of the family's 1831-position model. The record is from RNAcentral.
CAAUAGCGUAUAUUUAAGUUGCUGCAGUUAAAAAGCUCGUAGUUGGAUUUCGUGUGGGAAUGGCCGGUCCGCCGUUUCGGUGUGCACUUGCUACGCCCACCUUGCUGCCGGGGACGUGCUCUUGAGUUCACGCUCGGGACACGGAGUCGGCGAGGUUACUUUGAGUAAAUUAGAGUGUUCAAAGCAGGCCUACGCUCUGAAUACAUUAGCAUGGAAUAACACGAUAGGACUCUGGCCUAUCUUGUUGGUCUGUAGGACCGGAGUAAUGAUUAAGAGGGACAGUCGGGGGCAUUCGUAUUUCAUUGUCAGAGGUGAAAUUCUUGGAUUUAUGAAAGACGAACUACUGCGAAAGCAUUUGCCAAGGAUGUUUUCAUUAA